GGAAGUGGUCGCUCGACCAGUGUAGUUGAUAAUUCGGCAACUUCUCCAUCAGAUGUUAGAGGAAAAACAGGCAGUGUCCUAUCUACUUCACAAUCUAAAAGAGAGGACGAAAAACCACAAGUCACACAACCAUCUGUGCCAUCAAAACCUGCAUUAGAAGAGAACAUAGUUCUUGGUGUUGCUCUCGAGGGUUCGAAAAGAACGCUUCCAAUUGAAGAAGAGAUAUCACCAUCUCCAAAUCCAGCUGAAUCCAAGGAAAUGGCAACUAGCCGUAGCGGCAAUGCUUCUACCGUUGCAGAGAAAGAUAAACAAGAUGGACAACGUUCUAACCGUCCUAAUUCUGCAGCUCCAGAUCAGUCGGGUAAACGGCCCUCUACCGGAAAUUGAUCCACCUGUGUUUGUUUCUAACCAUGUGAAACUAUUUCUUUGUCAACACCAGAUUUGAUGUUUAUAUAUGGUAGUUGUCUUGAAGUCCAGGAUAGUGGAAGUAUUUAGCCUAUCAUAGUGGUUUUUUAUGUAUGUAUUUACUGUGCCCAGUUUGAUCCUCCAGUGUCAUACUUUUUUGGUUAUUGGCUAAGUCAAGCAACUUCUAUAGGAAUCGUCAUUUUCCAUUCACAUACGAGGCUUAUAUUUAAAGAAGGAUACGUACUAUUAUCUUAAUUAUUUAUUAUUUCUUGGUUAUUUAUUAAAUAAAAAUGGAUAAAUAUUUAAGUUGAGCCUUGAAAUUAUUGGUAAAGUCGUUGGCAUGGUCACAAAUUUAAGUUGUGAAAACAACCUUCGAUAUAAAUGCAAGAUAUAUAAGGUUUGAUACAAUAAAUUCUUGCGAUCCGAUCUUUCUCUAAAACACAAUAGUCUUUGGUGAAGGUUUAAUAUCCCAAUUAUUUUCUUUAAGCGAAUUCAACGUACCAUAAUAAAUGAUUUAACAACGUAUAUGUAUAAAGUGAGUGAGUUUUCGAUAAAUACUUAUUCACUUCAAUUGUUUAGUCAAACGAAUUCAACUUACUAUAAUUUUGAUAGUGUGGGGAAUAUUUUUAUUGAAACCAAUAAUUUUAUGAUUCGGACUAUAGAAUACUAAGACUUUAUUCUUCAAUAUGAAUGAAUCCCCCAUAAGAUACAGAGAAUUACAGUACUUUCUUUGUCUAAUGACUCUGGCGAAUAAUAUUUAUCGUCUUUCUUAGUAGGACAUUUCGUAUUCGAGUGAAUAUAAGAUUGCUUUUGUAAAGGAUUAUUUAGACUAUUUAAAUAGUAAUAAUAUAAAUAAUUUUAUUAUAUCACUCUUCGAAUAUAUUGAAUUUAAUAUUUUUAUAAAUAUAUUAAGAAAUAAAUAAUAAUAAAUAUUAUUAGACAUUGUGCGAAACAACUGUAAGAGAGAAAAGUGUCGGUGGUUUGGUGCCUAAAUUGCCAAUUGUCACAAUUAUUAGUUUGUCACAUUAAAAGCAUACAAUACAUUUUUUUUAUGGUAAAGUACUUGUCCUGCAACAUCCAACUACAAAAGUGUUUUUAUACGUUAAUUUUUAUUUGUUCAAUAUAUUAAAAAUAUGUUAAUAAUAUUGGUCCAACAACAUGCAACCCCAUGCAUUGCUGCAAAGAGGUUGUAGGUCAUAGAAGGAGCAAUUCUACCACUGCGCCAAUGCUCACUCUCGUGUGAUAAAAGCACAUGUUAGAACUAACACAACAAUUGAUUAAUUCUUCUUAUUUUUUUUAAUAAGUAAAUAUCUAAGAAAUAAUGUACUAAUCAUUAUCAAUAAAAAUAUUUUCUUUAUCAUCAAAGUAGAUAAACCCAAGAAGUUAAUAUCACAACUCGACCAUUGCAUCAAUGCUCGCUCUCACACAAUAAAACUACAUACUAGAGUUAACUUUCAACAAUUGACUAAUCAUCAUCAAUAAAAUAGUCUCUACCUCACAAGAAAUUUUACCUAAAAGAUUAAUAAUGCAACUCUAUCGCUAUGCCAAUGCUCACCCUUACACAAUAAAAUAAAGAUUGAGUUAAUUCUUCGCAAUUGACUAAUUAUGAGUUAUAAUCAAUAAAAUCUAAUCUUUACCCCAAAAAACAAGUUAAAGCCAACAUAUUUAUACCUAUUACUAGUUUGAAAGUGAUAACUAUAAGCUACUCCCGACACUUGACUACUCAAUAAUGUUGCAGUAGAAAUUUAAUCUUUACCAAAAUAUAAAUAUAAACCUAGCAAUUUCACGGCCAUUAGUACUUAAAACCUACAAUUAAUGACACUUUCGACUAUUGACUGUUCACGGAUUCAAACUAUGAAAAGUGGAAUCAGUCUCUUAGAGAAAUGCAGAGUGUAAAUGCUGUGUACAAUAUAACUUUGUGGCCCGAUCCUUUCCCAGGCCGUGCGAACAACGAAACUUAGUGCACCGAACUACUCUUUUUAGUUUAGCAAUAAGAAUCUAAUAUUGCAACUCUACGAUUGCUCCAAUGGUCACCCCCCACAACAAAAGCAAAUAUUAGAGCUAAUUCUCAACAAUUGACUUGUCAUGAACAAUAAAAAUGUAGUCUUUACAGCAAAUACUUCAGACAAAUUCAAGAAACUAUACACACUAAUUUGAAAUCUAUAACUAAAUCGACUACUCAAUUAUAGCAAUAAAAAUUUAAUCUUUAUCAAAAAAUAAAAUAAACCUCAGAAUUUCACACCCAUUAGUACUUAAAACCUUCAAUUAUUAAUGACACUUUCAGCUACAGAUUAUAGACUAUUUACAUAAAGAGUAAAUAAACCACCAACAGAAUAUGAAUAAUAGUCUGUAUUUUUCUUGAUAAUGAUUAGUCACACAACCAUCUGUGCCAUCAAAACCUGCAUUAGAAGAGAACAUAAUUCUUGGUGUUGCUCUCGAGGGUUCGAAAAGAACGCUUCCAAUUGAAGAAGAUAUGAAUCCAAGGAAAUGGCAACUAGUAG
RNAcentral lists this long non-coding RNA (2906 nucleotides) under Capsicum annuum. RNAcentral describes it as "long non-coding RNA (CANN_LNC020004)". Lineage: Eukaryota; Viridiplantae; Streptophyta; Magnoliopsida; Solanales; Solanaceae. The record is from RNAcentral.